GGGAGUACGGCUCAGUGGUAAAGCUCUUGCCUGGCAGGCAUGAAACCCUGGGUUCAAUCCCAAGCACUGCCA
RNAcentral lists this transfer RNA (72 nucleotides) under Ictidomys tridecemlineatus (thirteen-lined ground squirrel). Its description in RNAcentral is "Spermophilus tridecemlineatus (thirteen-lined ground squirrel) tRNA". It matches the Rfam family "tRNA". From Rfam's summary of the family: Transfer RNA (tRNA) molecules are approximately 80 nucleotides in length. Their secondary structure includes four short double-helical elements and three loops (D, anti-codon, and T loops). Further hydrogen bonds mediate the characteristic L-shaped molecular structure. tRNAs have two regions of fundamental functional importance: the anti-codon, which is responsible for specific mRNA codon recognition, and the 3' end, to which the tRNAs corresponding amino acid is attached (by aminoacyl-tRNA synthetases). tRNAs cope with the degeneracy of the genetic code in two manners: having more than one tRNA (with a specific anti-codon) for a particular amino acid; and 'wobble' base-pairing, i.e. permitting non-standard base-pairing at the 3rd anti-codon position. The record is from Rfam by way of RNAcentral. Lineage: Eukaryota; Metazoa; Chordata; Mammalia; Rodentia; Sciuridae.